RNAcentral lists this ribosomal RNA (796 nucleotides) under uncultured bacterium. RNAcentral describes it as "bacterial SSU rRNA". It matches the Rfam family "Bacterial small subunit ribosomal RNA", at positions 8 to 796 of the family's 1533-position model. The record is from RNAcentral.
AGAGUUUGAUCAUGGCUCAGAGUGAACGCUGGCGGCAUGCCUAACACAUGCAAGUCGAACGGUAACAGGCCCGCAAGGGUGCUGACGAGUGGCGGACGGGUGAGGAAUACAUCGGAAUCUGCCCGGUUGUGGGGGAUAACGUAGGGAAACUUACGCUAAUACCGCAUACGACCGAAAGGUGAAAGCGUGGGAUCCGCAAGGACCUCGCGCAGCCGGAUGAGCCGAUGUCGGAUUAGCUAGUUGGCGGGGUAAAGGCCCACCAAGGCGACGAUCCGUAGCUGGUCUGAGAGGAUGAUCAGCCACACUGGGACUGAGACACGGCCCAGACUCCUACGGGAGGCAGCAGUGGGGAAUAUUGGACAAUGGGGGCAACCCUGAUCCAGCAAUGCCGCGUGUGUGAAGAAGGCCUUCGGGUUGUAAAGCACUUUUAUCCGGAACGAAACGCGCAGGGUGAAUAGCCUUUGCGAACUGACGGUACCGGAGGAAUAAGCACCGGCUAACUUCGUGCCAGCAGCCGCGGUAAUACGAAGGGUGCAAGCGUUACUCGGAAUUACUGGGCGUAAAGCGUGCGUAGGUGGUUUGUUAAGUCUGCUGUGAAAGCCCCGGGCUCAACCUGGGAAUGGCAGUGGAUACUGGCAAGCUAGAGUGCGGUAGAGGGUAGUGGAAUUCCCGGUGUAGCGGUGAAAUGCGUAGAGAUCGGGAGGAACACCAGUGGCGAAGGCGGCUACCUGGACCAGCACUGACACUGAGGCACGAAAGCGUGGGGAGCAAACAGGAUUAGAUACCCUAGUAGUCC